ACUACGGGAGGCAGCAGUGAGGAAUAUUGGUCAAUGGGCGCGAGCCUGAACCAGCCAAGUAGCGUGAAGGAUGACUGCCCUACGGGUUGUAAACUUAUUUUAUAAAGGAAUAAAGUGAGGCACGUGUGCCUUUUUGUAUGUACUUUAUGAAUAAGGAUCGGCUAACUCCGUGCCAGCAGCCGCGGUAAGACGGAGGAUCCGAGCGUUAUCCGGAUUUAUUGGGUGUAAAGGGAGCGUAGAUGGGUUGUUAAGUCAGUUGUGAAAGUUUGCGGCUCAACCGUAAAAUUGCAAUUGAUACUGGCAGUCUUGAGUACAGUUGAGGUAGGCGGAAUUCGUGGUGGAGCGGUGAAAUGCUUAGAUAUCACGAAGAACUCCGAUUGCGAAGGCAGCUUACUAAACUGCCACUGACAUUGAUGCUCGAAAGUGUGGGUAUCAAACAGGAUUAGAUACCCGGGUAGUC
This 460-nucleotide ribosomal RNA is filed under the name uncultured bacterium. Its description in RNAcentral is "partial 16S ribosomal RNA". It matches the Rfam family "Bacterial small subunit ribosomal RNA", at positions 338 to 795 of the family's 1533-position model. The record is from RNAcentral.